ACAAAAAGAAAGUGAUUAUCUCAGGGAACCACUGUGAAGGAAUGAAAUUGAAAUUGGUUGUCCAAUUAGGCCUGACCUCUGUGGUAUGAAUGAGACAAGCCCCCAGGCAGUGGAGUUUGGUCAGAGGCUGUCCGUGGAAGGAACAUUACCAUGAAAUUGCUCUGGAUCCUCUGAGGAAUCCUGAAGCUCCACAGUUGGAUGCAUUUUUUUUCUGUGGUUUCUGCAUUGUCCCUGUUCCAGUUCACCCUUGACCCAGGGAGAGAGAUGGAUGGUGAAGUAGUGAUGGUGAAGGUGGAAAUGAGGAAUUUGCCCCUCAUCAUUCUUAAACUCUUACACCCUUUCUGGACAUGUGUUUGGAUAGGAAAGUGUGGAAGGGAAGGAGGGAGACUGAGGGUGGCUCAGCUCACAUAUAAUUUCCUAGAGACACAGUAAGCUACACAUGAGGGUGGUCCUAGACUUCUGGCUACUCCCUGACCAUAAUAAUAACAGCACUUACUGAAUGCCCACCCCGUGUCUGCCAGCAGGGAGCUGGAGGAGAAAGCAUCUCUGCAUUAGGGGCUCCAGACAGAGACAUGAGACAAUGGAGAUGGUACCAAGAAGUGCAGUUUGGACAUCAAACAUGAAUCGUUGGUUUGUGAGUGUGCUGAUGGGGGCUAUGUCAGACAACUGAGCAACAUUUUAUGUUGUUUACAGGGCCUUAAAUUUUAUACAAAUUGAAUUAAUGUUUAGCUCCACCUUGUAAAUGACCACCUGCUCCCUGGCUUGUUUUUUCUUCUUCAGGAUCAGCAUCUCUGCAGAUCAAAGAGCUCCUGCUGCCUUCCUUCCCUCUCUGAGUCUUCGUCUUCCUCCUGGCUAUGCUCAUCAUCCACUUUCUGG
Molecule: long non-coding RNA, 876 nt
Filed under: Homo sapiens (human)
Lineage: Eukaryota; Metazoa; Chordata; Mammalia; Primates; Hominidae
Description: HSALNT0015982
Source: RNAcentral